GACGAACGCUAGCGGCGUGCUUAACACAUGCAAGUCGAACGGAAAGGGCUCUUUCGGGGGGUACUCGAGUGGCGAACGGGUGAGUAACACGUGGGUAACCUGCCCUUGACUUUGGGAAAACUUCAGGAAACUGGGGUUAAUACCGGAUCGGAGCUCCUGCUGCAUGGUGGGGGUUGGAAAGUUUCGGCGGUUGGGGGUGGACUCGGGGCUUAUCAGCUUGUUGGUGGGGUAGUGGCUUACCAAGGCUGUGACGGGUAGGUGGCCUGAGAGGGUGACCGGCCACAUUGCUACUGAGAGACGGCGCAGACUCCAACGGGAGACAGCAGUGGGGAAUAUUGCCCAAUGGGCGGAAGCGUGAUGCGGCAACGCCGCGUGCGUGAUGACGGCCUUCGUGUUGUAAACCGCUGUCAGCUGUGACGAUGCGUGAGUGACGUUAAUGGGUAAAGAAGCACCGGCUAACUACGUG
Molecule: ribosomal RNA, 466 nt
Filed under: uncultured bacterium
Lineage: Bacteria
Description: partial 16S ribosomal RNA
Rfam family: Bacterial small subunit ribosomal RNA
Source: RNAcentral